UCCACAUCGACGGGGAGGUUUGGCACCUCGAUGUCGGCUCAUCACAUCCUGGGGCUGUAGUAGGUCCCAAGGGUUGGGCUGUUCGCCCAUUAAAGUGGUACGCGAGCUGGGUUCAGAACGUCGUGAGACAGUUCGGUCCCUAUCCGUCGCAGGCGUAGGAAAUUUGAGAAGACCUGUCCUUAGUACGAGAGGACCGGGAUGGACGUACCUCUGGUGUACCAGUUGUCCUGCCAAGGGCAUGGCUGGGUAGCUAUGUACGGAAUGGAUAAGCGCUGAAAGCAUCUAAGCGCGAAGCCAACUUCAAGAUAAGAUUUCCCACCGCAAGGGUAAGACCCCAGAAAGACUAUCUGGUUGAUAGGUCGAAGGUGUAAGUGCAGCAAUGUAUUUAGCUUAUCGAUACUAAUAGGUCGAGGACUUGACCAAU
This 424-nucleotide ribosomal RNA is filed under the name Clostridioides difficile. RNAcentral's name for it is "partial 23S ribosomal RNA". It matches the Rfam family "Bacterial large subunit ribosomal RNA", at positions 2499 to 2925 of the family's 2925-position model. The record is from RNAcentral. Lineage: Bacteria; Bacillati; Bacillota; Clostridia; Peptostreptococcales; Peptostreptococcaceae.